GAGAGAAAGCACGCGGUUAACGGCGAUAAUUGAUUUCGCUGAGGAAAGUCCUCCCACCUGUCGGGCAGACAGCCGUACACAAGUACGGGCGGUGAGAACCGCAGCAAUGGAACAGAAACGACACAGCCUGUUUAGAGUAAUGAAGCAGUAUGCUGCCGAACGUCGAAGAACAGGAUUUGAUGGAACGGCGAAUCUCUGUAGGUGCAAGUUGAAACAGGGUUAUAAGAGCCUGACCUUACCCGGGUACAACGCUGAGCUGAAUACCGCAUAAAACAUGAGGAGGCUUAUUACUUUCACUC
This 299-nucleotide RNase P RNA is filed under the name Methanocorpusculum sp. Its description in RNAcentral is "RNase P RNA component". It matches the Rfam family "Archaeal RNase P". Rfam says of the family: Ribonuclease P (RNase P) is a ubiquitous endoribonuclease, found in archaea, bacteria and eukarya as well as chloroplasts and mitochondria. Its best characterised activity is the generation of mature 5'-ends of tRNAs by cleaving the 5'-leader elements of precursor-tRNAs. Cellular RNase Ps are ribonucleoproteins. The record is from RNAcentral. Lineage: Archaea; Methanobacteriati; Methanobacteriota; Methanomicrobia; Methanomicrobiales; Methanocorpusculaceae.